GUCCUCGCUUCGGCAGCAUAUAUACUAAAAUUGGAACAAUACAGAGAAGGUUAGCAUGGGCCCUGCGCAAAGAUGGCAUGAAAAUUUGUGAAGCGGUCCAUAUUUUU
Molecule: small nuclear RNA, 107 nt
Organism: Cricetulus griseus (Chinese hamster)
Lineage: Eukaryota; Metazoa; Chordata; Mammalia; Rodentia; Cricetidae
Source: Ensembl